CAGUCAGAGUCACAGUGAUUUGUGCUAGAAACACUGAAUAAGUUCAUUCGCAAAUAUGAGGGCUGCAGCAGAUGAGAAGAUUUGAAGUCAAUAACAUCAUUUUAGAGCUUCAGACGACUGAGAAUAUCGAGCACAGAUACCCUGAAGACAUCAAACAAGUGAUCAACAGAAUUUGGAUUCAUCAGAUUGUUGAGAAGAUAUAGUUUUAUAAGUGUAUUGAGCCAUGGCUAAAUGAACUAUCUUCUAAACGCUUUGACUAAUUAAAAUCCUUUUGAUAA
Long non-coding RNA from Megalobrama amblycephala (Wuchang bream), 278 nucleotides. RefSeq lists it as uncharacterized. The transcript is spliced from 2 exons. Lineage: Eukaryota; Metazoa; Chordata; Actinopteri; Cypriniformes; Xenocyprididae. The record is from RefSeq and is a predicted model, not a curated record.